Molecule: ribosomal RNA, 112 nt
Filed under: Pteropus alecto (black flying fox)
Lineage: Eukaryota; Metazoa; Chordata; Mammalia; Chiroptera; Pteropodidae
Source: RNAcentral
GUCUCCGGCCACGCCGCCCGCGUGGUCCCGUCGGAUCUCGGAAGCUAAGCAGGGUCGGGCCUGGUGAGUACUCGGAUGGGAGACCACCUAGGAAGAUCAGGUGCUGUCGGCA